Molecule: ribosomal RNA, 402 nt
Filed under: Actinomycetes bacterium
Lineage: Bacteria; Bacillati; Actinomycetota; Actinomycetes
Description: Actinobacteria bacterium partial 16S ribosomal RNA
Rfam family: Bacterial small subunit ribosomal RNA
Source: RNAcentral
UGGGGAAUUUUGCACAAUGGGGGCAACCCUGAUGCAGCGACGCCGCGUGAUUUAGAAGGCCUUCGGGUUGUAAAAAUCUUUUGUAUAGGAAGAAAAUGACAGUACUAUACGAAUAAGGUCCGGCUAAUUACGUGCCAGCAGCCGCGGUAAUACGUAAGGACCGAGCGUUGUCCGGAAUCAUUGGGCGUAAAGGGUACGUAGGCGGUUAAAAAAGUUAGAAGUGAAAGGCUAUAGCUCAACUAUAGUAAGCUUUUAAAACUGUUUAACUUGAGAGAUGGAAGGGAAAGGUGAAUUCCUAGUGUAGCGGUGAAAUGCGCAGAUAUUAGGAGGAAUACCGGUGGCGAAGGCGACUUUCUGGCCAUUAUCUGACGCUGAGGUGCGAAAGCGUGGGUAGCAAACAGG